GACGAACGCUGGCGGCGUGCUUAACACAUGCGAGUCGAACGAAGAGCGAUGGAAGCUUGCUUCUAUCAAUCUUAGUGGCGAACGGGUGAGUAACGCGUAAUCAACCUGCCCUUCAGAGGGGGACAACAGUUGGAAACGACUGCUAAUACCGCAUACGAUCUAAUCUCGGCAUCGAGGAUAGAUGAAAGGUGGCCUCUACAUGUAAGCUAUCACUGAAGGAGGGGAUUGCGUCUGAUUAGCUAGUUGGAGGGGUAUCGGCCCACCAAGGCGAUGAUCAGUAGCCGGUCUGAGAGGAUGAACGGCCACAUUGGGACUGAGACACGGCCCAGACUCCUACGGGAGGCAGCAGUGGGGAAUCUUCCGCAAUGGACGAAAGUCUGACGGAGCAACGCCGCGUGAGUGAUGACGGCCUUCGGGUUGUAAAGCUCUGUUAAUCGGGACGAAAGGCCUUCUUGCGAAUAGUGAGAAGGAUUGACGGUACCGGAAUAGAAAGCCACGGCUAACUACGUG
RNAcentral lists this ribosomal RNA (510 nucleotides) under uncultured bacterium. Its description in RNAcentral is "partial 16S ribosomal RNA". It matches the Rfam family "Bacterial small subunit ribosomal RNA", at positions 28 to 507 of the family's 1533-position model. The record is from RNAcentral.